CCUUACCCGCUUGUUCCCUGGCUUCGAACGGAACGGAUGACUUUGCCUCAGGCAUGCUAACCUUCUCCUCCAGAAGCCCACAAUUCGUAUGGGGUGAGAAUUCAUAUGGAAUGACAGAGUUUUCUUGAGUAAUUGAGCAGAGCUUCCUCUGACUUUCCUACAGAAGGACAGGAGGAAGAGAACGGAGCUAAAGCAAUAUCUGAAACAAUUAUGGCUGAGAAAUUUCCAAAAGUGAUAGAAGACUUCAAGCCACAGAUCCAAGAAAUGCUAUGGAUUCCCAUGAAGACAAAUACAAAACAUUUAGAGCCCACCAAACAUGGAAACAGAGGAAAGGGAACCUCUGCCACUCCAGUGCAGCCUGACAUUCCUGAGAUGACUCAAGACACAACUAAACAAAUGUUGUAGGUCCUUCUGCUUCUGCUAUGUGGAUGCUGCUUCAGCAUGGCUUG
This 449-nucleotide long non-coding RNA is filed under the name Equus asinus (donkey). RNAcentral describes it as "lncRNA (ENSEASG00005026554.1)". Lineage: Eukaryota; Metazoa; Chordata; Mammalia; Perissodactyla; Equidae. The record is from RNAcentral.